AUGCGCACACCAGCUAACGUGACUUCAAGAAAGGAGUCCAGGACCCGAGGGCUGGGGCAUAGAGUGUGGAGCAUGCGCACUGACUGCGCCACCAAGACGCGCAGGCGCAGUGGGCUGAGCGCCUGUAGGGGGUCAGUUUGGGACGUUGAGUGUGGAGCAAGAGCUGGUUCUUGGAGGGCCGUUGCUGGGCUCUUGAACAGGGUGGGUCCAAUGAAGAGAGUCUGUAGUCGGACUCCAAGUCUUGAACCUGAAAUGACUGCAGCAAAAAAAGCAAAACUGAAACCAGAUAGUGGAAGAUCAUUCCAACAGGCCUGGACAGAGUCAUUUGGAGUGAUUGAACGCAAUGGGAAAGCGUUAUGUAUUCUGUGUAGUGAAAGUGUUGUGUGUCGCACAUCAAGUGUGAGACGGCACUUUGACACCAACCACAAAAGUGUUGCUGAACUUGGUGAAACUGAAAGGAAAGAGUUUCUAGAAGGAAAAUUGAGGAAAUGUCAUUCCCAGUAUCUUAGUUUUUGCAACCAUCUUUCUAAGUCAAAUCAUCUGACAGCUGCCAGCUUUCAAAUUUCACUGUGUAUAGUAAAACAUGAUAAAGCCAAAUUUGAAGAACUUGAUCUUUCCUGCUUACACUGGUUAGAUUUUGGAAAUCUGGAAAUGGAGCUACUGGAAUUUCAAGAAAGUUCUAUCUGGAAAAAUAAAUUCUUUGACCUGCGUGCAACACUUGAGAAGAUAGAGACAUUAGCGUGUGAAGGGAUGACAAAGGAUAGAACAGUUGGUAGUCCUGAAAAUGAAAUCCUUAAAGUGUGGAAUUCUCUGCCAAAUAAUUUUAAGUCAAUGAAAGCACUUGGGAUUGCUUUUCUUACUUUGUUUGGAUCAUCUUAUGCUUGUGAGCAGCUGUUUUCAGCUUUGAAUUACAUCAAAUCUGAUACAAGAAAACAGACAGAUGAUGUGAGUGCUGCAUGUGUUGCUCUCAAACUAACGAAGUAUGAGCCCAGGUUUGACAAAUUAUCAGCAUGCAUACAACAGCAAAGAUCACAUUAAUUGUGGAAAAACAUGCCAAAUCCAAGCUUUUACCUUUCAAUAAAAAGCUGUUUGUAUCAUUGAAAGCUGUUUCUGUGUUUUCCUUUUGAGACAAAAGAUGUUAAUG
Molecule: long non-coding RNA, 1144 nt
Filed under: Chinchilla lanigera (long-tailed chinchilla)
Lineage: Eukaryota; Metazoa; Chordata; Mammalia; Rodentia; Chinchillidae
Description: lncRNA (ENSCLAG00000025130.1)
Source: RNAcentral